Mercenaria mercenaria is the source of this 1215-nucleotide long non-coding RNA. RefSeq lists it as uncharacterized. The record is from RefSeq and is a predicted model, not a curated record. The transcript is spliced from 2 exons. NCBI's taxonomy places the organism in Eukaryota, Metazoa, Mollusca, Bivalvia, Venerida, Veneridae.
UUGAGUUUAAUCGCUAAAGGUUAAACUGUUUAUCUAGCACAAAAGAAUUAUUAGUUAAUUGAUUUUUAAUAUGAUGACGUAAUAUAAUGAGAAGAUUAGCACGCGCUUAGAGCGCCCUCUAUAAUAAGAAGAUCAGCACGCGCUUGGAGCGUCCUCUUUCUCGCUGACUUCCAACGAAGGUAGAUGUGCUUUUAGUGCUCUGUCAAACUAUUUCAAUUUAAGUCUCUAAAGAAAUAUUUAUAAACUUAUAUUUUGUAAUGUUUUAAUGUAAACACUAUCUAAAUGUGCUGAGAAUAGUUUUUUAAGUAAUUUGGUUAUACGUGAAAUAAAUUAUAUUAGUUUUUACAUGCAUAUUUCGUUGUAGAUCUACCACGGCUUCAUAUAUACGGGAUAAAAUUGCAUCAUAAUUUGUGAUUUAUGAUAAAUUAUAAGAGUAAAAUAACUGUGCAGUUAUUUAAUUAGAAUAUUGAGAAUCUAACCAAAGGACAGAUAUAAUUUACAGCUACAACAGUAAAUCUAGAUAAAAAUAUAAUUGUACAAUUUUAAUAAUAAUAAUAAUAAUAAAACAGCAACAAAAUAAAAGCAGUAAACUUACAAAUAGAUUCUAGAUUCUAUUUUAUUUUUCUCUUUUACAUAUAUCUACACCAUGCCGAAAUCCAAACGUAAUAGAUCCUGACCUUGGCGGACCAGGUACAAAAAAGAAGGCACGCACUAACCAGUGCCGGCUGAUAACAACGACGUCGGGCUGAUAAGAACUCAGCUGCCGGCUUCAGCUAGUAUUUUGUUACAGACGUUAAACGCCGCAUGAGCAGUACCGGAUACAUACCAGCUCAAACUCCACUUUGUCAUGGCUGGAUGCGUCAUAGAAAUGCAUACUUUCUAAAAAGAUACAUUGAUCUACUUGUGGAAGAACAGAAAACAAUAUAUACAGACUAUACACUAUAUAGCUUAAAUUUUUGCUUCCGUUGCCGGAGCAAAGAAGUGUAAUAGAAUCUAGUGCAUUAACAUAAGAACAUUAGCUACAAGAUUUAUGACAUUUGUUGGCGUUUUUAACGCAUAAAAAUCCGCUCUGCUACCGUUUCCGGAGCAGAAUUUUAGGUACAAAGACUUAUAGAUUAUCAUCAUUGCAUUUAUUCAUAAAGUUAUUCAAAAUUAUGUAUUCACAGCCAUGGCCAAUAUAUGCCACUAUCUAAAAAUAAAUUUCAUCAAACUUUA